GUUGCAGGGAACAGAAACCCACGCUUGCCUGGUGUUGGUUCACAGCUUGGCUUGCAUCUCUCCUGUACGUGACUCUUAAAAUUGCUGCUGAAUUACAGGUUACUGUUGGAGCUGCAAUUUAUUGCAAUUUAGAAAAAGGGAAAUAACCGUAGAAGGGAAAAUAAUGCGUCCAGGAUUGUGCUAUUGUAAGCAACAACUUCCCAGCCGAGGGGGUUAAAGAGAUGUCAAGUUCAAAAGAAGCAUACUGAACUCUUCCCACUUUCGCUGUUUAACAUAAUGGUUCAGAUUCUA
This is a long non-coding RNA of Podarcis raffonei (Aeolian wall lizard), 291 nucleotides long. RefSeq lists it as uncharacterized. NCBI's taxonomy places the organism in Eukaryota, Metazoa, Chordata, Lepidosauria, Squamata, Lacertidae. The transcript is spliced from 2 exons. The record is from RefSeq and is a predicted model, not a curated record.